GAUGAACGCUGGCGGCGUGCCUAAUACAUGCAAGUCGAGCGAACGGACGAGAAGCUUGCUUCUCUGAUGUUAGCGGCGGACGGGUGAGUAACACGUGGAUAACCUACCUAUAAGACUGGGAUAACUUCGGGAAACCGGAGCUAAUACCGGAUAAUAUUUUGAACCGCAUGGUUCAAAAGUGAAAGACGGUCUUGCUGUCACUUAUAGAUGGUUCCGGGCUGCAUUAGCUAGUUGGUAAGGUAACGGCUUACCAAGGCAACGAUGCAUAGCCGACCUGAGAGGGUGAUCGGCCACACUGGAACUGAGACACGGUCCAGACUCCUACGGGAGGCAGCAGUAGGGAAUCUUCCGCAAUGGGCGAAAGCCUGACGGAGCAACGCCGCGUGAGUGAUGAAGGUCUUCGGAUCGUAAAACUCUGUUAUUAGGGAAGAACAUAUGUGUAAGUAACUGUGCACAUCUUGACGGUACCUAAUCAGAAAGCCACGGCUAACUACGUG
RNAcentral lists this ribosomal RNA (497 nucleotides) under uncultured bacterium. Its description in RNAcentral is "partial 16S ribosomal RNA". It matches the Rfam family "Bacterial small subunit ribosomal RNA", at positions 28 to 507 of the family's 1533-position model. The record is from RNAcentral.